Molecule: long non-coding RNA, 720 nt
Organism: Oryzias melastigma (Indian medaka)
Lineage: Eukaryota; Metazoa; Chordata; Actinopteri; Beloniformes; Adrianichthyidae
Exons: 2
Source: RefSeq, a predicted model, not a curated record
AAAUAUUUGCCCCUGUGCUGACGACGCCGAGGCCCCAGAGGAAGAUGCGGAGGUGAUGAUGAGGAGGAAGAGGCUGUUUUGGGGGCCACCAGCGAUGCUCUCUUGCAGAACCAACUACCUACUGAGGUUUCUGCCCUGCAGGAGGUAGCACCACACCUUGAUUACUUUUAACAGCAUCCGUCCACAGCCAACCCUGUAAACCGUGAAGAUGGACGAUGCAGUCUACAGUGAAGAUGCAUCCUGAAACUCUGCAGACCAUCCUGCAAGAUGUUCCAAUCACCACCCAGAAAGUUCCAUCCCUGUGUCUCAGUUGCAGCCCCCCCAUCAAUGUUGACCAUCUUUGUAAAUAGUUAGAAGUCAAAGUCUUACAAUGACUGACGAUUACUGUGUUGGAUUUAUACCUUUAUUUAUAUUAGAAAAGCAAACAUUUUAAUACAUCAAAUAUAAACUUCAUUUAUUCUCAGAAAUCAAAUGUGGUUAUUUGUUGGCAUUUUUUUCCAGGAGACUAAAGUUGGUCAAAAGUCUCCCUCCUCUCUCGUGCGCUCUGCUCUUCUGCCUCAUGUCCUCUCUGAUCAGGUCUAGAAGCUCAUCACUAGUCACGUUUCCAUUAACUCUGAGAUUUCGCAAAUUGGAAUUUUGAUACAUUCUCCUAAUGGAAACCACAAUUCCAAAAAAAAAAAAAAAAAAAAAAACGUUUUUGCCCUUAGAGGGGGUGGUAUU